UGGGGAAUAUUGCGCAAUGGGCGAAAGCCUGACGCAGCGACGCCGCGUGAGGGAUGAAGGUUUUCGGAUCGUAAACCUCUGUCAGAAGGGAAGAAACCGCACUGUGCUAAUCAGCAGUGUCUUGACGGUACCUUCAAAGGAAGCACCGGCUAACUCCGUGCCAGCAGCCGCGGUAAUACGGAGGGUGCAAGCGUUAAUCGGAAUUACUGGGCGUAAAGCGCACGUAGGCUGCUUUGUAAGUCAGGGGUGAAAUCCCACGGCUCAACCGUGGAACUGCCUGUGAGACUGCUUAGCUUGAAUCCGGGAGAGGGUGGCGGAAUUCCAGGUGUAGGAGUGAAAUCCGUAGAUAUCUUGAGGAACAUCAGUGGCGAAGGCGGCCACCUGGACCGGUAUUGACGCUGAGGUGCGAAAGCGUGGGGAGCAAACAGG
This 429-nucleotide ribosomal RNA is filed under the name Fusobacteriota bacterium. RNAcentral describes it as "Fusobacteria bacterium partial 16S ribosomal RNA". It matches the Rfam family "Bacterial small subunit ribosomal RNA", at positions 355 to 776 of the family's 1533-position model. The record is from RNAcentral. Lineage: Bacteria; Fusobacteriati; Fusobacteriota.